UAUGCAGCCAUUGGGCCAUU
RNAcentral lists this small nuclear RNA (20 nucleotides) under Arabidopsis thaliana (thale cress). Its description in RNAcentral is "snRNA_17661". Lineage: Eukaryota; Viridiplantae; Streptophyta; Magnoliopsida; Brassicales; Brassicaceae. The record is from RNAcentral.